Molecule: ribosomal RNA, 1200 nt
Filed under: metagenome
Description: bacterial SSU rRNA
Rfam family: Bacterial small subunit ribosomal RNA
Source: RNAcentral
AGAGUUUGAUCCUGGCUCAGAACGAACGUUGGCGGCGUGGAUUAGGCAUGCAAGUCGAGCGGGAUCCUGAUUUUUCAAUUCUUCGGAAAAGAAGUUUCAGGUGAGAGCGGCGAACGGGUUAGUAAUAUAUGGGUAAUUUGCCUCUUUGUUCGGAAUAAUCGCUGGAAACGGUGACUAAUGCCGGAUGUGUUCGGGUGCUGCAUAGCACCUUAUAUAAAGGCGGGGAUUCUUCGGAACCUGUCGCAGAGAGAUAAGCCCAUAUCCUAUCAGCUAGUUGGUGAGGUAACGGCUCACCAAGGCUUACGGGUAGUUGGUCUGAGAGGAUGAUCAGCAACACUGGGACUGAGACACUGCCCAGACUCCUACGGGAGGCUGCAGUCGAGAAUCAUUGACAAUGCACGAAAGUGUGAUCAUGCGACGCCGCGUGGAGGAAGACGGCCUUUGGGUUGUAAACUCCUGUCAGCAGGGAGGAAGGAUGGAUCUCUUAAUACGAGGUUCAUUUGACAGUACCUGCAGAGGAAGUCACGGCUAACUCUGUGCCAGCAGCCGCGGUAAUACAGAGGUGGCGAACGUUGUUCGGAUUUACUGGGCGUAAAGGGUCCGCAGGCGGCUCGGUGUGUCAGAUGUGAAAGCCCACGGCUCAACCGUGGAAUUGCAUUUGAAACUGCCGGGCUAGAGUACUGGAGGGGAGAAGGGAACACUUGGUGUAGCGGUGAAAUGCGUAGAUAUCAAGUGGAACACCGGUGGCGAAGGCGCUUCUCUGGACAGAUACUGACGCUCAUGGACGAAAGUUAGGGUAGCGAAAGGGAUUAGAUACCCCUGUAGUCCUAACCGUAAACGGUGUGCACUAGACGUGGGAGGCUUUACCCCCUUCCGUGUCGGAGCUAACGCAUUAAGUGCACCGCCUGGGGAGUACGGUCGCAAUAUUAAAACUCAAAGGAAUUGACGGGGACCCGCACAAGCGGUGGAGCAUGUGGCUUAAUUCGAUGCAACGCGAAGAACCUUACCUGGGCUUGACAUAUAGCUGCAUACGACCCGAAAGGGACGUAGCCUUCGAGGGUGCUAUACAGGUGCUGCAUGGCUGUCGUCAGCUCGUGCCGUGAGGUGUUGGGUUAAGUCCCGCAACGAGCGCAACCCCUGUGUUUAGGGCUAAGUCGUAACAAGGUAGCCGUACCGGGAGGUGUGGCUGGAACACCUCCU